GACGAACGCUGGCGGCGUGCUUAACACAUGCAAGUCGAACGGAAAGGCCCUGCUUUUGUGGGGUGCUCGAGUGGCGAACGGGUGAGUAACACGUGAGUAACCUGCCCUUGACUUUGGGAUAACUUCAGGAAACUGGGGCUAAUACCGGAUAGGAGCUCCUGCUGCAUGGUGGGGGUUGGAAAGUUUCGGCGGUUGGGGAUGGACUCGCGGCUUAUCAGCUUGUUGGUGGGGUAGUGGCUUACCAAGGCUUUGACGGGUAGUCGGCCUGAGAGGGUGACCGGCCACAUUGGGACUGAGAUACGGCCCAGACUCCUACGGGAGGCAGCAGUGGGGAAUAUUGCACAAUGGGCGGAAGCCUGAUGCAGCAACACCGCGUGCGGGAUGACGGCCUUCGGGUUGUAAACCGCUUUCGCCUGUGACGAAGCGUGAGUGACGGUAAUGGGUAAAGAAGCACCGGCUAACUACGUG
RNAcentral lists this ribosomal RNA (468 nucleotides) under uncultured bacterium. Its description in RNAcentral is "partial 16S ribosomal RNA". It matches the Rfam family "Bacterial small subunit ribosomal RNA", at positions 28 to 507 of the family's 1533-position model. The record is from RNAcentral.